ACGAACGCUGGCGGCAGGCCUAACACAUGCAAGUCGAACGCCGUAGCAAUACGGAGUGGCAGACGGGUGAGUAACGCGUGGGAACCUUCCCAAUGGUACGGAAUAACUCGCCGAAAGGCGUGCUAAUACCGUAUAAGCCCGCAAGGGGAAAGAUUUAUCGCCAUUGGAUGGGCCCGCGUCGGAUUAGCUAGUUGGUGAGGUAAUGGCUCACCAAGGCGACGAUCCGUAGCUGGUCUGAGAGGAUGAUCAGCCACACUGGGACUGAGACACGGCCCAGACUCCUACGGGAGGCAGCAGUGGGGAAUAUUGGACAAUGGGCGAAAGCCUGAUCCAGCCAUGCCGCGUGAGUGACGAAGGCCUUAGGGUUGUAAAGCUCUUUUGGCGGGGACGAUAAUGACGGUACCCGCAGAAUAAGCCCCGGCUAACUUCGU
This 431-nucleotide ribosomal RNA is filed under the name uncultured bacterium. RNAcentral describes it as "bacterial SSU rRNA". It matches the Rfam family "Bacterial small subunit ribosomal RNA", at positions 29 to 506 of the family's 1533-position model. The record is from RNAcentral.